RNAcentral lists this transfer RNA (76 nucleotides) under Afifella marina. Its description in RNAcentral is "tRNA-Ala". It matches the Rfam family "tRNA". From Rfam's summary of the family: Transfer RNA (tRNA) molecules are approximately 80 nucleotides in length. Their secondary structure includes four short double-helical elements and three loops (D, anti-codon, and T loops). Further hydrogen bonds mediate the characteristic L-shaped molecular structure. tRNAs have two regions of fundamental functional importance: the anti-codon, which is responsible for specific mRNA codon recognition, and the 3' end, to which the tRNAs corresponding amino acid is attached (by aminoacyl-tRNA synthetases). tRNAs cope with the degeneracy of the genetic code in two manners: having more than one tRNA (with a specific anti-codon) for a particular amino acid; and 'wobble' base-pairing, i.e. permitting non-standard base-pairing at the 3rd anti-codon position. RNAcentral also lists the same sequence under 13 other names. Lineage: Bacteria; Pseudomonadati; Pseudomonadota; Alphaproteobacteria; Hyphomicrobiales; Afifellaceae. The record is from RNAcentral.
GGGGCCGUAGCUCAGUUGGGAGAGCGCGUGAAUGGCAUUCACGAGGUCAGGGGUUCGAUUCCCCUCGGCUCCACCA